UACUAAGGCGAUCGAGAGAAUCAUGGUUAAGGAACUCGGCAAAAUGCCCCCGUAACUUCGGAAGAAGGGGGGCCUGCCCCGUGAACCACCCUUGCGGUGGGGAGGCGGGUGUGGGCCGCAGAGACCAGGGGGAAGCGACUGUUUACUAAAAACACAGGUCCGUGCGAAGUCGCAAGACGAUGUAUACGGACUGACUCCUGCCCGGUGCUGGAAGGUUAAGAGGACCGGUUAGCACACUUGUGUGCGAAGCUGAGAAUUUAAGCCCCAGUAAACGGCGGUGGUAACUAUAACCAUCCUAAGGUAGCGAAAUUCCUUGUCGGGUAAGUUCCGACCUGCACGAAUGGAGUAACGACUUCCCCGCUGUCUCAACCAUGAACUCGGCGAAAUUGCAGUACGAGUAAAGAUGCUCGUUACGCGCAGCAGGACGGAAAGACCCCGAGACCUUUACUAUAGUUUGGUAUUGGUGUUCGGUGCAGCUUGUGUAGGAUAGGUGGGAGACUGUGAAGCUCGGACGCUAGUUCGGGUGGAGUCAUCGUUGAAAUACCACUCUGGCUGUACCGGUCACCUAACUUCGGACCAUGAUCUGGUUCAGGGACAGUGCCUGAUGGGUAGUUUAACUGGGGCGGUUGCCUCCUAAAAUGUAACGGAGGCGCCCAAAGGUUCCCUCAGCCUGGUUGGCAAUCAGGUGUUGAGUGUAAGUGCACAAGGGAGCUUGACUGUGAGAGUGACAGCUCGAGCAGGGACGAAAGUCGGGACUAGUGAUCCGGCGGCACCUCGUGGAAGGGCCGUCGCUCAACGGAUAAAAGGUACCUCGGGGAUAACAGGCUGAUCUUGCCCAAGAGUCCAUAUCGACGGCAUGGUUUGGCACCUCGAUGUCGGCUCGUCGCAUCCUGGGGCUGGAGUAGGUCCCAAGGGUUGGGCUGUUCGCCCAUUAAAGCGGUACGCGAGCUGGGUUUAGAACGUCGUGAGACAGUUCGGUCCCUAUCCGCUGCGCGCGUUGGAAAUUUGAGAAGGGCUGUCCUUAGUACGAGAGGACCGGGACGGACGAACCUCUGGUGUGUCAGUUGUACUGCCAAGUGCAUCGCUGAUUAGCUACGUUUGGAAGGGAUAACCGCUGAAAGCAUCUAAGCGGGAAGCCUGCUUCGAGAUGAGAUUUCCAUCCACUUUGUGUGGGUGAGGCCCCCAGCUAGAUUACUGGGUUGAUAGGCAGGAUGUGGAAGCAAGGACCAAAGACUUGUGUAGCUGACCUGUACUAAUAGGCCGAUGGCUUACAACACAC
Molecule: ribosomal RNA, 1279 nt
Filed under: Arthrobacter sp. YC-RL1
Lineage: Bacteria; Bacillati; Actinomycetota; Actinomycetes; Micrococcales; Micrococcaceae
Description: bacterial LSU rRNA
Rfam family: Bacterial large subunit ribosomal RNA
Source: RNAcentral